UACGUAGGGUGCAAGCGUUAUCCGGAAUUAUUGGGCGUAAAGAGCUCGUAGGCGGUUUGUCGCGUCUGCUGUGAAAACUCGAGGCUCAACCUCGAGACGUCGGUUGAAACCGUAUGGCUAGAGUCCGGAAGAGGAGAGUGGAAUUCCCGGUGUAGCGGUGAAAUGCGCAGAUAUCGGGAAGAACACCCGUGGCGAAGGCGGCUCUCUGGGACGGUACUGGACGCUGAGACGCGAAAGCGUGGGGAGCGAACAGG
This 254-nucleotide ribosomal RNA is filed under the name uncultured bacterium. RNAcentral's name for it is "partial 16S ribosomal RNA". It matches the Rfam family "Bacterial small subunit ribosomal RNA", at positions 524 to 776 of the family's 1533-position model. The record is from RNAcentral.